Long non-coding RNA from Numida meleagris (helmeted guineafowl), 2172 nucleotides. The record is from Ensembl. NCBI's taxonomy places the organism in Eukaryota, Metazoa, Chordata, Aves, Galliformes, Numididae.
UUUGGAGAUUUGAUCUUUCUCUUGAAAUAGCAACUUUCCCAAUUCUAUUUCUCUACAUUAUAUUGAAUGCUGAAAGUAGAAGAUUAUUUAUUUAUUUGUUUGUUUUAUGUGUUUGAAGGGAUUCUGCUGUUCAUUUAUCUGCUAAUAUUUUUAUAACUGGCUCAGGGGCAGUGCCUGUAGUAUCUACCUCGUGGUAAAAAAAAUGGAGAAAUAUUGUGUUCCUAGUGUGAGUUAACAUGCUGGCUAGACUGUUCAUGGGAACCUCUUGCAGCUGCUCAGUAAAUUCGACCUUCUUGUCAAUUUGUUGCGGGUGCGAGCAAUGAAAUUGAUGAGAUCAUCAAUUUGACUUAACAGCUGCAGAGUUCAGAGAGUUUCCGGUCCAUGGGAAGUUUAAAAAAUGCCUGGUUUGGAUCCAAAUCAGACCAAAGUUAUACAACAGAAAAAGAAAAUCCCCAUCGUUUUAAAAUCCUUCUUUAUUGUCUUUUUGUUGUCCUCUGGGAUCCAAGAGGAAAUUCCCAUGCUCUGCAUUUUAAUAAUUGCACGUAAAGGCUGCCUGAUGAAAAUUGAUAUAAUUAAUGUGUUGCCUUUUUCGGUUUUGAUAGCAACUAUGGCACAUAAUUUGCAUCGAGUCUGUGAGGAACUAUGACCCCUGAACGAAUUAGUUGCAUGAUUGACUGACUGAUGAUGAUUAACAUCUACACACAAUGAACUCUUCAGCUGCAACUGCCCAUCAGCCAUUGAAGGAGACUGCUGUGUUUUGAAUCUCCAAUAGAGGUAGACUGUUCUUUCCAUGGCAGUGAGCUUUCAUAAAGUAUGAUAAGGUGGUAAGUUGAAGUCAGACAGAGAAGUGUGAGAUAUAUAGUUUGCUCUUAAACUUAAUUAUCUCCAAUAACUUGGAACAAUACUGUUUCUUGAUGUAGUUUUAAGAAAAAGCCAUUCUGCCCUUCAUGUAGCUGAGCAUUUCAGGGUGAGCUCACAUGUGCAAGAAACAGCUUUAAAUGUCUGAUAUUUGCACUGAAAAUGUUUAGUCAUCAACUGCAAAGGGACCAUGCACAACACUGGCACAGGCCGUUCCACCAAACCUCUUGAGCUACUCAGAGCAGUGAGUGGAGACUUCUCCCCUCUCUCCACUGUUUUCUUAGGGUAAAUAAUAUUAGGAGAAGAGAAAUAGAUAAAUAUGCAUGCUUAUAAAAAAAUCACCAUGUUCAGUCUUUGAACGAAACAAAAGAAUGGAAAAAAGCAUACUGGGACAGAUUUUGGAAUUUUAUUGUGUUAAAAAGAGUGAAUAAGUUCUCUUUCUUAUGUAGGUACAGAGCAACUCUGAAUAUGUCUAAAACUUGUUUUAGUAAAACUUCAGAUGCACCACUAAAAAAUACUAACAACUAAGCAUGUCAUUUUAAUUAAAAAUCUACCACUACCUUCUCAGACAUUACAAGAAAAUUCUCAUCUAAGAUGGUAAAUUCUUAUUCUUCAGAAUUAAUCUUUCAGAGAUUAGACAUUAAGAGCCAUAAUCUGGGAACUCAUUUAUUCACUGUGAAUUUUCCUUUCCAAUUAAUGAAUGGCCUGAAUUGUUUAACUUGUACUUCCAUUUAUGUCUUGUUUGAAAAGUAGAGCAUCUCAUGACAAGUGUUUUUUAUGUCUAAGGGCCCACAUUUGAAAUGGGGAAGUCAAUGACUGAAUUCUAAUUGUGAAAGGGGAAAAAAAAAAGAAAAUGUAGACUUGUACUCUAUUUUUUGCAUUCCAGCAUAGGCAUAUAGUCAAAAAGCUUCUUGUUAAAUGAAUCCUUAUGGUAAAUUUAGGUUCUGAUCUAUAGAGAGUUUCUGACAUACAAAGGGUUCAUUGGAUGAUGCAAGCUGAGCGCAGAAACCUAAAUCCAAAUCAAGAACAGAAAACAUUCACAAAUGCUCCUUUCUGAGCACAUUUGACUAAAAAUAGAUCAGUAACUUCUUGAAAAAUGUAGCAGAAGGAGUACUGGUGUACUGAGUAUAGUGAGAGUUUAUUCUGGAUUUAAGUAUAGUUUUGGAGUGCCCACCUUAGAAAUCCCAGAUGAACUGCACAUCAGAAAAGGAGAAUAUUUAGCAGGUCCUAAAUGAUCACGAAAGCUUUGGCAUGAAAUCAUGCAAUGCUCUCAUAAGCAAACAAUAUAAUAAAUACUGGCUCAUUAAUUAACCA